UUGAAUGACGAAGAAAAUAUUCGCCGAGAGCAAGAAGAAGCAGAGGAACCAGAGUAUCAAAACUCGUUUUGGCAUUCGAAAUUCCAGAGUGUGUGUGUGUUUUUGUAUUUUUGGCAACACUUCUACGCCGCUCGCUUGUUGUUGUUAUUCCACUGGCAAAGUGAAAAUUUAUGCCGCACCCCGCUCGAAAAAAAAACAGAAAUAAAAGUUGGAGUCCGUGAUUUCACACAACACACCAAAAUUCCAAUCCAUUUCAAAGCCGCGCCAACAAAUAAACAAAAGCCAAUAUGUAAUUGAAUUUUUUCCGCCGUUUCUUUUGCUCAACAAUUUUCGUCGAACACAUUUUUAUGGCUUUUCUUUCAACACACUUCGUUGUUUAUCAGUCGAACGAGUGAGAGAUAGAGAAUUGGUUACAAUAGCGAGUUAAUCCGAGUGAAAGGAAGCCAUGAUUGCCAACUGCGCACAUUUUCAUUCCCGAUCCGCCCAAGAUUAUCGAUUUUCCAACCCUACACAAAAACGCAUUUAGAGUACCGGAGGGAAACGAAAACUGAGCUUUUAAUACCUCUGGACAACUGAUGUUCUUA
Molecule: long non-coding RNA, 584 nt
Organism: Drosophila gunungcola (fruit fly)
Lineage: Eukaryota; Metazoa; Arthropoda; Insecta; Diptera; Drosophilidae
Exons: 3
Source: RefSeq, a predicted model, not a curated record